Molecule: transfer RNA, 94 nt
Filed under: Streptomyces sp. ADI95-16
Lineage: Bacteria; Bacillati; Actinomycetota; Actinomycetes; Kitasatosporales; Streptomycetaceae
Description: tRNA-Pro
Source: RNAcentral
GCCCGGCCGCGCCCCGCGCCGGGCCGGCCCUGGGCUCGCCGCCUGGGCUCGUCGCCCGGGCCGUGCCUCGGGUUCGCUGCCCGGGCCGGGCUCC